Molecule: small nucleolar RNA, 99 nt
Organism: Ipomoea nil (Japanese morning glory)
Lineage: Eukaryota; Viridiplantae; Streptophyta; Magnoliopsida; Solanales; Convolvulaceae
Rfam family: Small nucleolar RNA Z279/snoR105/snoR108
About the family: This family includes the plant snoRNAs known as Z279, snoR105 and snoR108.
Source: Rfam
GGGAUAUGAGGAGUGGUCAAUUCUUGCAUCUGGUGCGAGGUGAGUGCCCGCCUCGCCUGUUACGACAAUGAGGCACUCUCAUUUUUACCAUCUGAUCCU